RNAcentral lists this ribosomal RNA (460 nucleotides) under uncultured bacterium. RNAcentral describes it as "partial 16S ribosomal RNA". It matches the Rfam family "Bacterial small subunit ribosomal RNA", at positions 338 to 795 of the family's 1533-position model. The record is from RNAcentral.
CCUACGGGUGGCUGCAGUGAGGAAUAUUGGUCAAUGGGCGCGAGCCUGAACCAGCCAAGUAGCGUGAAGGAUGACUGCCCUACGGGUUGUAAACUUCUUUUAUAAAGGAAUAAAGUGAGGCACGUGUGCCUUUUUGUAUGUACUUUAUGAAUUAGGAUUGGCUAACUCCGUGCCCACAGCCGCGGUAAUACGGAGGAUUCGAGCGUUAUCCGGAUUUAUUGGGUUUAAAGGGAGCGUAGAUGGGUUGUUAAGUCCGUUGGGAAAGUGUGCGGCUCAACCGUAAAAUUGCAAUUGAUACUGGCAGUCUUGAGUACAGUAGAGGUAGGCGGAAUUCGUGGUGUAGCGGUGAAAUGCUUAGAUAUCACGAAGAACUCCGAUUGCGAAGGCAGCUUACUAAACUGCCACUGACAUUGAUGCUCGAAAGUGUGGGUAUCAAACAGGAUUAGAUACCCCAGUAGUC